ACGCUCGACACCUACGGGAGGCAGCAGUGGGGAAUAUUGCACAAUGGGGGAAACCCUGAUGCAGCGACGCCGCGUGAGUGAAGAAGUAUUUCGGUAUGUAAAGCUCUAUCAGCAGGGAAGAAGAUGACGGUACCUGAGUAAGAAGCCCCGGCUAACUACGUGCCACAGCCGCGGUAAUCUGAGCGGGCUGGCAAGGC
This 197-nucleotide ribosomal RNA is filed under the name uncultured bacterium. RNAcentral's name for it is "partial 16S ribosomal RNA". It matches the Rfam family "Bacterial small subunit ribosomal RNA", at positions 328 to 539 of the family's 1533-position model. The record is from RNAcentral.